GAUGAACGCUGGCGGCGUGCCUAAUACAUGCAAGUAGAACGCUGAAGGAGGAGCUUGCUCUUCUGGAUGAGUUGCGAACGGGUGAGUAACGCGUAGGUAACCUGCCUGGUAGCGGGGGAUAACUAUUGGAAACGAUAGCUAAUACCGCAUGACAACAGUUAUUGCAUGAUAACUGUUUAAAAGGGGCAACUGCUCCACUACCAGAUGGACCUGCGUUGUAUUAGCUAGUUGGUGAGGUAACGGCUCACCAAGGCGACGAUACAUAGCCGACCUGAGAGGGUGAUCCGCCACACUGGGACUGGGACACGGCCCAGACUCCUACGGGAGGCAGCAGUAGGGAAUCUUCGGCAAUGGACGGAAGUCUGACCGAGCAAAGCCGCGUGAGUGAAGAAGGGUUUCGGAUCGUAAAGCUCUGUUGUAAGGGAAGAAAGAGUGUGAGAGUGGAAAGUUCACACUGUGACGGUAUCUUACCAGAAAGGGACGGCUAACUACGUG
RNAcentral lists this ribosomal RNA (495 nucleotides) under uncultured bacterium. RNAcentral's name for it is "partial 16S ribosomal RNA". It matches the Rfam family "Bacterial small subunit ribosomal RNA", at positions 28 to 507 of the family's 1533-position model. The record is from RNAcentral.